Molecule: non-coding RNA, 78 nt
Organism: Candidatus Magnetoglobus multicellularis str. Araruama
Lineage: Bacteria; Pseudomonadati; Thermodesulfobacteriota; Desulfobacteria; Desulfobacterales; Desulfobacteraceae
Source: Rfam
UUGAGCCGUGUGACGGGGAAACUUUCACGCACGGUUCUUAGGGGGCUCGGGACUGGAGACAGUCCCUGGCUACCCGAU